Long non-coding RNA from Calidris pugnax (ruff), 456 nucleotides. RefSeq lists it as uncharacterized. The transcript has 3 exons. The record is from RefSeq and is a predicted model, not a curated record. NCBI's taxonomy places the organism in Eukaryota, Metazoa, Chordata, Aves, Charadriiformes, Scolopacidae.
GAACCGGAGAGGUCCAGCUCUGCCCUCUUCCUCUUGUGUGCAACGAGACCGGUGGUUCCUGGAGAGGUUGGGUCCACAUCCAGGCUGAACGACUCUCUGAAGUCUUUGGGCCAUGACUAUUACCUUGGCUCCAGAGAUGAGGAUUGCCUUUCCUCUUCACAUCAGGUUUCAUGAAGGAACCGGUCUCCGUCACAGCAUCAACAGUGCAAACUGAGUUUUGUGAAUAUUAAGGGAUUCUCCAGGUCUUGCCAACAGCAGCUGUAGAAGACUGUGAUCCAGCUAGCAGAGAUGAGUGUAGUAGUGGUGUGAUGUCCAGCACUCAGCGACCUACAGAUUUGGACCUACUGGAAACAUGCAGUCAUAUGGACUCAAAGAAUAUACUCUGCACAAUCAGGUUGCUUAAUGGAACAGGCUGGAAAGUGGAUUUUCUCUUUAAUGGGUAUCUCAUGCAUUUGA